Molecule: ribosomal RNA, 1647 nt
Filed under: Salmonella enterica subsp. enterica serovar Typhimurium
Lineage: Bacteria; Pseudomonadati; Pseudomonadota; Gammaproteobacteria; Enterobacterales; Enterobacteriaceae
Description: partial 23S ribosomal RNA
Rfam family: Bacterial large subunit ribosomal RNA
Source: RNAcentral
GGGUUGUGAGGUUAAGCGACUAAGCGUACACGGUGGAUGCCCUGGCAGUCAGAGGCGAUGAAGGGCGUGCUAAUCUGCGAUAAGCGCCGGUAAGGUGAUAUGAACCGUUAUAACCGGCGAUACCCGAAUGGGGAAACCCAGUGUGAUUCGUCACACUAUCAUUAACUGAAUCCAUAGGUUAAUGAGGCGAACCGGGGGAACUGAAACAUCUAAGUACCCCGAGGAAAAGAAAUCAACCGAGAUUCCCCCAGUAGCGGCGAGCGAACGGGGAGGAGCCCAGAGCCUGAAUCAGCAUGUGUGUUAGUGGAAGCGUCUGGAAAGGCGCGCGAUACAGGGUGACAGCCCCGUACACAAAAGCGCAUGUGCUGUGAGCUCGAUGAGUAGGGCGGGACACGUGGUAUCCUGUCUGAAUAUGGGGGGACCAUCCUCCAAGGCUAAAUACUCCUGACUGACCGAUAGUGAACCAGUACCGUGAGGGAAAGGCGAAAAGAACCCCGGCGAGGGGAGUGAAAAAGAACCUGAAACCGUGUACGUACAAGCAGUGGGAGCACCCUUCGGGGUGUGACUGCGUACCUUUUGUAUAAUGGGUCAGCGACUUAUAUUCUGUAGCAAGGUUAACCGUAUAGGGGAGCCGGAGGGAAACCGAGUCUUAAUUGGGCGUUAAGUUGCAGGGUAUAGACCCGAAACCCGGUGAUCUAGCCAUGGGCAGGUUGAAGGUUGGGUAACACUAACUGGAGGACCGAACCGACUAAUGUUGAAAAAUUAGCGGAUGACCUGUGGCUGGGGGUGAAAGGCCAAUCAAACCGGGAGAUAGCUGGUUCUCCCCGAAAGCUAUUUAGGUAGCGCCUCGUGAAUUCAUCUCCGGGGGUAGAGCACUGUUUCGGCUAGGGGGCCAUCCCGGCUUACCAACCCGAUGCAAACUGCGAAUACCGGAGAAUGUUAUCACGGGAGACACACGGCGGGUGCUAACGUCCGUCGUGAAGAGGGAAACAACCCAGACCGCCAGCUAAGGUCCCAAAGUCAUGGUUAAGUGGGAAACGAUGUGGGAAGGCCCAGACAGCCAGGAUGUUGGCUUAGAAGCAGCCAUCAUUUAAAGAAAGCGUAAUAGCUCACUGGUCGAGUCGGCCUGCGCGGAAGAUGUAACGGGGCUAAACCAUGCACCGAAGCUGCGGCAGCGAACGUAUCACCCAAGACAACUUUACGGAGUUGACGAUUGACGGAGCGAAGCGACGUCAAAGCGUUCAUUAAAGUCGAGUUGGCUUAGGGAUACGUUCGUUGGGUAGGGGAGCGUUCUGUAAGCCUGUGAAGGUGUGUCGUGAGGCAUGCUGGAGGUAUCAGAAGUGCGAAUGCUGACAUAAGUAACGAUAAAGCGGGUGAAAAGCCCGCUCGCCGGAAGACCAAGGGUUCCUGUCCAACGUUAAUCGGGGCAGGGUGAGUCGACCCCUAAGGCGAGGCCGAAAGGCGUAGUCGAUGGGAAACGGGUUAAUAUUCCCGUACUUGGUGUUACUGCGAAGGGGGGACGGAGAAGGCUAUGUUGGCCGGGCGACGGUUGUCCCGGUUUAAGCGUGUAGGUGUGUGUUCCAGGUAAAUCCGGUUCACUUUAACACUGAGGCGUGACGACGAGGCACUACGGUGCUGAAGCAACAA